This 1783-nucleotide unclassified non-coding RNA is filed under the name uncultured fungus. RNAcentral's name for it is "sequence contains 18S rRNA gene, ITS1, 5.8S rRNA gene, ITS2, 28S rRNA gene". The stretch from base 667 to 1783 matches the Rfam family "Eukaryotic large subunit ribosomal RNA", at positions 1 to 961 of the family's 3401-position model. The record is from RNAcentral. Lineage: Eukaryota; Fungi.
GGAAGGAUCAUUAACACAUUGUCCAUUUGAUGGUGAAUUUGGUAUUAGAUGUAGUAAUACGUCUAUUGCUAAUUCAUCAUUCAAACAACAUUAGAGAAUGAGUUGACAAGUCAUCAACCAUUUUAUUCUUUUAAAAUGAUUGAGUGAAUAAUCAAAUCAUGAUAUCACGCUCAGUAAGACUAGGUAAUACUAGUAGUACUCGACUGAUGUUUUCUAAAAACAAAAAACAAAAUAUAACCAAGACAACUUGUAACAGUGGAUACCUUGGUUCCCAGGUCGAUGAAGAGCGCAGCGAACUGCGAUAAGUCAUGUGAAUUGCAGAAUUCCGUGAAUCAUCGAACUCUUGAACGCAAAUUGCACUUGGGUGUUGAGCUCAAGUGUGCCUGCUCGAGUGUCGGCAAUAAAUCCUCUCAAUCUGAUUGAGAAAAUGAGAGUUCAGACUAUCUGAUCUCUUUAAGAGUAUGGAAUGUAUGAUUUACGUUUGAAGCUUAUCACUCUUUUGAAAAGGUUAAGUUUACGAAAUCGAAUAAAUUAAUAGGCUUCAUUGCCUUGCAAUCUUAUUUUGAAAUUAGUUCGAUCUAUCUUUUCAUACGAUGAGUUAGUUUAUCAUAUAAUGACUAGUCGAAUAGUACGCCAAGUGCUAGAUGACAAAUUUCAUAAUAUACUCGACCUCGAAUUAGGCAAGAUCACCCGGUGGACUUAAGCAUAUUAUUAACCGGAGGAAAAGAAACUAACAAGGAUGCCCUUAGUAACGGCGAGUGAAGCGGGCAGAGCUCAAAUUUAAAAUCUAAGAGCCUUAUGGUUCUUCGAAUUGUAGUUUUUGGAUCGUUAGUCACGGAGGCGUCUGGGCGGGAGUAAGUUCUUUGGAACAAGGCGUCAGAGAGGGUGAGAACCCCGUAUGCGUCCCUCCAGGCGUUUCAAUAGGUGUCUAGCUUUUCACGAGUCGGGUUGUUUGGGAUUGCAGCCCUAAAUAGGUGGUAGAUCUCAUCUAAAGCUAAAUAUUCCUGGGAGACCGAUAGCGAAGAAGUAGUGUGAACGAAAGGUGAAAAGAACUUUGAAAAGAAGGUGAAAAGUACUUGAAGCUGUUCCAAGGGAACCGUAUGGAAGCAGUGAUUGUUUGCUGGCAAUUCAGCGUGCGACGUGCUUACGUGUUGGACACUCGGAGGUGUAUGCCCCGGAGUGCUGAGCGUUUAGGUAUGUGGCGCGUGUACUUUGUCGGUGAACGAGUCAACAUCAGUUUGUUGGGCGACGGAGAAAGGUGUGAGGAAGGUAGGUUGGCCUCUCGGGGUCCUCUGUUAUAACCUCACAUUGCAUACGUCGUCUCAGACUGAGGAAAGAAAACACGUGCCUCGGCGAGGUAGUUGGCGGACCCGUGGUUGUGUGUGCGUACGUCUGCUUGCAGGGUGCGUGCACGAUGGCUACGGCAUAAGUUGACCCAUCUGCGUGUUAGGGAUGUUGACGAAAUGCUUUCCUAUGACCCGUCUUGAAACACGGACCAAGGAGUCUAACAUGUAUGCGAGUAUUUGGGUGGCAAACCCGAGUGCGCAACGAAAGUGAGAGAUGCGAGUCUGUCAAAGGAUGCAGCAUCGACCGACUGUUUUUAGGAACGGAUCGCGUCGGAGCACACAUGAUGGGACCCGAAAGAUGGUGAACUUUGCGUGCGCAGGGUGAAGCCAGAGGAAACUCUGGUGGAGGCUCGUAGAGAUACUGACGUGCAAAUCGUUCUUCUGACGUGCGUAAAGGGGCGAAAGACUAAUCGAACCAUCUAGUAGCUGGUUUACAC